CAUUGCACCGGAGAAGUAGUUGAAUUAAGAGGGUUUGCACGGGCUGUAUGGGUGUUUCCGCCGUUUCACUCAUGCGUAACUUGCAUAGGAGUCAAUUACUCUUAGAAAGACCUCACCCCUCUUAGGCAGGUAGCUCGCUUAUGUUUUGCUAUUGCAAGAACAGAUCCUGUAAUACCUUGGGAAGCUUUACUAACUCACACGCCUAUUUUGGGUUUAACAGAGGUUAACUUCUGCAUGCUUCUUUCACAAAGAUGGGAUAUGAAAAGUGAUGCAAUUUUAUCUGCUGAAGAAGCAAAAUACGUUGAAGAAUUAAGAUCUACAUACAAGCAAAUUUGAAGUCAAAUGCAUGAAAACAUUCUCAUCUAUUAAUUUACUUAUGUAUAUGCACACAACAGUUUUGAUAAAUCAAAGAAUAAAUGAAAGUAUCAUCAAUAAUAAAGAAAUUAUGAAAUGAUUUACUUGAAAACUAGUGUAAUAUAUACUCUAGAUAAAUAAAAGUUCAUAAAAAAUUA
Stegodyphus dumicola is the source of this 512-nucleotide long non-coding RNA. Lineage: Eukaryota; Metazoa; Arthropoda; Arachnida; Araneae; Eresidae. The record is from RefSeq and is a predicted model, not a curated record.